Molecule: long non-coding RNA, 1390 nt
Filed under: Gallus gallus (chicken)
Lineage: Eukaryota; Metazoa; Chordata; Aves; Galliformes; Phasianidae
Description: lncRNA (ENSGALG00010025857.1)
Source: RNAcentral
ACUUUGAAGGACCUGCUAUGCUUUACAGACUCCUUCAGUCCUAUGACACAUUUUCCUUGUGCUUACAUGCUUCUGGUGUGAAGCAUGGCAACUGCUUUGCACUGCACAGGAGGACUCUGCCAAGGAAGACUAACGUCUGCAUUUGAUUGAACCUGCAGAGGGAAUUAAGGUAAAAGGAAUGUAAAUAUUAGAGUCUAGACAAGAUGCUGGCAGAAAACAUUUGUACUCUUGUGGCAUGUGCCAUGAAACAAUCAUUUGCAGCAAAGGAAAGGCUACACAGAAAAGCAGCGAAGGUAAGGUGUUUGCUAGGAGGACACAGGGAAUACAGAGGGAUCCAAAUGCUCAUGCAUGUUGACCACACACUUCUGCAUUGCUUGAAUACCCACAAUGCCUGCAGGUUGAGCAUCUGCACAGCCGCAAGUCAUGCUAUUCAAAUGAUCUCCGUGCUCAUCAGCCCCACACACCCCAGAUUUUCAGAGGAUCUGAGCAGGUUCCACUGGCUUCACAUUAUUAUUGUGGGGCUCCCACUCCAACCUACGCGCCAGACCCAGGAACAUCAAAGGCACUGCAGAAGUUCACACCAGAUGAAAGGCUGGUCCCACCCCUCUUGCCCACGGAUCACUGCUUUCCCACCUGGGUAAAAUGAUAUAGAUGUUCAGACUGCCUAUGAGAUACUAUUUGGAGAGUGCUGAAUGUGUUCUCCUGCAUAGAGCUCCAUGAAAUAUGGCAUCUCAUAUAUGUAUUUAUGAGUGCAGUCUCUUCAGGGCUUAGGCUUGAAACAUCAGUGAGAGAGCAAAUCACCCAAAGAACUGAAAGGAGAAGCACCCAAAGAAUCCUACUCCCUCUGCAUAGCUGAUGAGCUGGGAACUGAGACAUAGCCUGAUGGAGGGGAAAUGGACUUCCAGCACAGGUUCCUCUGGGAACACCGUGGCCAGGCAAGUGGAUGGGGAACAUAUGGGGAUGCCAAAUGGACCCAUUUCUGGAAUGGACAGCUGUGGCUGGAGAAUCUUUUCUCAUUUUUUAUUCUCAACAGUAUUCCAGAUGAGGUAGCAGACUUCUGACCUGUGACCCAUAUCCGCUAUUUUGGGGGCACAGUUAUCUUUUCUCAGGAAUGGAAGCCCCCAGUUAAUGAAAGCUGAACUUUUCAUCUCCAUCCCUGCUGAAGCCUUAUCAUACACAGGACUUUAAUCCUACCCAUCACUUCAGAAAUAUUAUUAAAGGUCUGCAUAUACAUUUUGAGAUAGAAUUGGCUUGUGAUAAUAUUGUUGUGUAAUUAUGGAAAUGAGAAAAUAAUCCCCUCAGGCUUUGCUGUAAUGACUUCUGAACAUCUUGCAUCAUCACGGGCAGACAGCAGGCUUCAGAAUGCCAUGCAUUAUUAAAAGGAAUGUGG